AACCUGUUCUAUAAUCGAUAAUCCACGAUGGACCUUACUUAAGUUUGUAAUCAGUUUAUAUACCGUCGUUAUUAGAAUAUUUUAUAAGAAUGUUAAUUUUCAUAAUUUUUAAAAAGAAAAUAUAUCAGAUCAAGGUGUAGCUUAUAUUUAAGUAGAAAUGGGUUACAAUAAAUUUAUUUAUACGAAUAUAAAUUUGAAAUAUUUAUUGAAGGUGGAUUUGAUAGUAAAAUUAUAAAGAUUAAUAAUUUGAUU
Molecule: ribosomal RNA, 252 nt
Filed under: Scathophaga stercoraria (yellow dung fly)
Lineage: Eukaryota; Metazoa; Arthropoda; Insecta; Diptera; Scathophagidae
Description: partial 12S ribosomal RNA
Source: RNAcentral